This 1377-nucleotide unclassified non-coding RNA is filed under the name Hevea brasiliensis (rubber tree). The record is from RNAcentral. Lineage: Eukaryota; Viridiplantae; Streptophyta; Magnoliopsida; Malpighiales; Euphorbiaceae.
GUUUUUUGGUUAUAACCGAUUUUGGCUCACCCCUACAUGUAUUGACAUGUUGCAUUGCCAUCAUACUGAUAGCAAUGUUAUCAUCACAAUAUAUGCACCAUUUCUGAGACCCUAAUCACAAAUCUGCCAUGGUACAAUUGAAACUUCCACAAAAAUCCAUAUAUUGCAAUGCCAUAAAGUUUAAGUUCUAAGCUAUUACCAAGCAAAAAUAAAAAACUAUUUACCCAAAUACCCUUAUUUUGUUCAUUCAGCGAUUUACACUUACACUAUCAGCCAAACAAGAUGCAUAUGCAGAUGUUACUAGGCAUGUCACGCGUCACACCUCAACCAAAGAGCUCUAAUAAUAUUUGAAUUUGAGGCAAUUUCUCACGGCUAGGCUUAUGCAACUUUAAUUUAUUAAAAUAUCAUUAAAAGAACAAUUCAAAGCUGUAAAAGAAAUACUACACCAACAUAUUAUACCAUGAUAUAUUAUAAUAAAUCUUAAAGUACAAGGCUUAAUUAUCUAUUAACAGUAAGCAAAGAUCUCAAAAAAUCUGCCAGAAGAAUGGCAUGCAACAUAACCACAAAUUUAUUUUCCUCAAAACAACAUAUACCAAAAAGAUAAAUAUGGGCAAGGAGAUUAAUGCCUAAAACACUUUCAUAUACCCUUCAACUCUCUACACCAGACAAGAAUCCCAGAAUACACACACCCUAAAAGCUUACUCAUACUCUUUUGAAAAACCCCAAAUUGCCCAUCCAAUGUAGCUCCAUGUCUUUAAAAGUUAAAACAAUAAGAAAAAGAACAAGUUCUUUUACACUUUAGAUAUCAAUCACGAUAUCAUGUGUACAUGUAAAGUAAGACAGGCUAGAACUAUGUAAUUUAUCAUAAAUCAAGAAUGAAUACUCAACUUGAAGUUCCUACAAGAAGAGAAAUAAAAGAAAAUAUGAUUGAUAAAAACAAUAAAUAGAAUUUGUUAUUAUCUUCUCCCUUCACCAUGCUUUAUUGGUUACAACAUUUUUACACAAAACGUAGAGGAAAACAUGUCUCAAAUGGAUACCAAAUAUAUGGUCUUACAGUUUCUUGUUUCCUAACAUCGUCCAGCAAUUACCCUACAUGCCUCAAAAGUAAGAUCAUAGUAUUUUCUCUAUAUUGCAAUAUUAUCUUCAUCAUUAAUAACAGCAUCCUAUUUCUUCUCCACUGCAAUUUUAUUCCAGACCUGACAUAAAAUAAAUUGCUUCAUUCUAAGGAAUCCUAAGCCUCUACAAUGCAGCAAGUCAAAAUUAUACCAGAAGAAGCAGCUCCUUUGUCAACCAUAGUAUGUGUUAUCAGAUGCGUAUUAUCAUCAAAGACGCACAGUAACUUCAUCCACCACACAAAUUUGGAUACUACAAUGAAAC